Peromyscus maniculatus bairdii (prairie deer mouse) is the source of this 677-nucleotide non-coding RNA. Lineage: Eukaryota; Metazoa; Chordata; Mammalia; Rodentia; Cricetidae. The record is from RefSeq and is a predicted model, not a curated record.
AUGUCUGAGUUUGCAUGUCCUCUGUGUUAAGGAAUACAAGUUAAUACUAGUCAUCCAGGUAUUCAGAUACUAGUUUAAAGCAAAAACUGUUAACUCUUAUUUAAUUACAAGCUAUUUAAAUAAGAAAAAAAACAGAACCUGAGAGGUGCAUUUGACUAAUAUCUACAGGAUAACAAAUUAGCAUGGUUAUUGUUACCAAACUUAGAGAUGUUUUCAAGAUUAGGUCUAGAUUUGUUUGGCUCAGAUAUAUUUAAUAGAUAAUGAUCCUCAAACCCAUCAAAGAUCUGGUGAAUAUGGUAUUUAAAUUAUUUGAUAAAAAGCUUACUAUAACAAAUAGAGACUCCCAGCUCCCCAGCUCCUAACAAUGACUUGCAAUGACUCCAAAGAAGAUAUGGAACAAUGACAGGAAGGUGUCACCUGAAUUGGUGAUAACACCAACCACUGAGCAAGAUGCCCCAGCUCAACACCUGCUGCCAGGGAUCCGGCCCAGAAUGGACAAAUGAGACACUGACAAGAUAAGGUUUCCACUUGGCUGACAGACACAUCCAAGCAUUGUUUCCUGGUGACAACCUACUCCAAAUGACUGCAAGCCCUGAACUUGCUGAAAGCUGAUAUGGACCAAUCCAGCCAAUAUAAAUGCCAUCUCUUCAGCUGAUCAAUAAGACAUUCCCUCCUUG